RNAcentral lists this non-coding RNA (223 nucleotides) under Terribacillus aidingensis. RNAcentral's name for it is "T-box sequence". It matches the Rfam family "T-box leader". Rfam says of the family: Uncharged tRNA acts as the effector for transcription antitermination of genes in the T-box leader family. Lineage: Bacteria; Bacillati; Bacillota; Bacilli; Caryophanales; Bacillaceae. The record is from RNAcentral.
AAAUGAGCGUUGAACGGAUUACAGUAAUGUGUGUUCUCCCUGUUAGAGAGAGCUGACGGAUGGUGCAAGUCAGUACAAAGAACAGCAUGAAUUACGAUUCUGGAGCAUCUUCUUCGAACCGGAUGGUGAGGGGAAGACGGUUAAUAGCCGUUAUGAUAAUGAGAUAUUGACAUAUUAACUAUGUUGAUAAUUAGGGUGGUACCGCGUAAAUCACGUCCCUGCU